AUUGAACGCUGGCGGCAUGCUUUACACAUGCAAGUCGAACGGCAGCGCGGGCUUCGGCCUGGCGGCGAGUGGCGAACGGGUGAGUAAUGCAUCGGAACGUGCCCAGUAGUGGGGGAUAGCCCGGCGAAAGCCGGAUUAAUACCGCAUACUACCUGAGGGUGAAAGCGGGGGACCGAAAGGCCUCGCGCUAUUGGAGCGGCCGAUGUCGGAUUAGCUAGUUGGUGGGGUAAAGGCUUACCAAGGCGACGAUCCGUAGCUGGUCUGAGAGGACGACCAGCCACACUGGGACUGAGACACGGCCCAGACUCCUACGGGAGGCAGCAGUGGGGAAUUUUGGACAAUGGGGGCAACCCUGAUCCAGCCAUGCCGCGUGCGGGAAGAAGGCCUUCGGGUUGUAAACCGCUUUUGUUCGGGAAGAAAUCCUCUGGGCUAAUACCCCGGGGGGAUGACGGUACCGGAAGAAUAAGCACCGGCUAACUACGUG
This 484-nucleotide ribosomal RNA is filed under the name uncultured bacterium. RNAcentral describes it as "partial 16S ribosomal RNA". It matches the Rfam family "Bacterial small subunit ribosomal RNA", at positions 28 to 507 of the family's 1533-position model. The record is from RNAcentral.